AUGCUUGCUUCAGCAGCACAUAUACUAAAAUUGGAAUGAUACAGAGAUUAGCAUGACCCCUGAGCAAGGAUGAUAUGCAAAUUCAUGAAGCGUUCCAUAAAAAA
RNAcentral lists this small nuclear RNA (104 nucleotides) under Gorilla gorilla gorilla (western lowland gorilla). The record is from RNAcentral. Lineage: Eukaryota; Metazoa; Chordata; Mammalia; Primates; Hominidae.